GGACUACUGGGGUUUCUAAUCCUGUUUGCUCCCCUAGCUUUCGUGCCUCAGUGUCAGGAGUUGUCCAGAGACUCGCCUUCGCCACUGGUGUUCCUCUCGAUAUCUACGCAUUUCACUGCUACACCGAGAAUUCCAGUCUCCCUUCCAACCCUCCAGCAGAAUAGUAUUCAAUGCCAUUUCCGGGUUAAGCCCGGAGAUUUCACAUCAAACUUACCCCGCCACCUACGCACCCUUUACGCCCAGUGAAUCCGAACAACGCUUGGGACCUCUGUAUUACCGCGGCUGCUGGCAC
RNAcentral lists this ribosomal RNA (292 nucleotides) under uncultured bacterium. RNAcentral's name for it is "partial 16S ribosomal RNA". The record is from RNAcentral. RNAcentral also lists the same sequence under 1 other name.